Molecule: long non-coding RNA, 634 nt
Organism: Sander lucioperca (pikeperch)
Lineage: Eukaryota; Metazoa; Chordata; Actinopteri; Perciformes; Percidae
Exons: 3
Source: RefSeq, a predicted model, not a curated record
CACACACACACACACACACACACACACAAAAAUGACACAAGACAUGUCAGACAUGGCCUUCUAUAAUUGUGAGCGAACAAGCUAUGUCAAAUGCUAUUUCAGUCCGAGCUGUGUGGCAUAAAAGUCGCUUGUUGCCGGGUUUCGCUCAACUUCUCUACAUUGUACAUCUUUUGAAGGGAAUAAAUAUGAAGAUCUGUUCUUCAUGUACAAUAUUACAUAUCUACAGUAUCUUUUUUUCCCACAAACUUGAUAACUUUUGGGAAAUCCUAUGAUACACCAAUAAAGUAUUGUUUACAGUAGUAAGAACUGUAUCCUCCAUUUUGACUAACCUCAUGGUGUCAGAUGAUCAGCAUUUCCUGUUGCUAGCUUGCAGUGCUCUGAUCUGUGAAGCCUGUAACCACUUCCUCUUUUGACCCUAUUCAACCAUCAGUUGGUUCCUCUAGAAACUGACAGCUGACACUUGUUUCUCUAAAUCUUUUAAUUUAAGAGGCAGUGAAAAACCCCUUCAAUGUUUAAGACUUCCAAUUUUAAAGGAACUUAAAAGCGCUGUAACAAUUAUUUUCAUUGCCGUCUAAUCAUUUUCUCGAUUAAUCUAUACGUUUUUUGGUCUCUAAAAUGUCAGAAAAUGGUGAAA